AACGAACGCUGGCGGCAGGCUUCAUACAUGCAAGUCGCGCGAUUAAACCCAGCAAUGGGAUAUAAAGCGGCGAACGGGUGAGUAACAGGUGGAUAAUCUGCCUUUUGGUGGGGGAUAACGGCUGGAAACGGCCGCUAAUACCGCAUGUGGUUGCGGGUGCCAUGGCAUCUGCAAAGAAAGGGGCUGAAAGGCCCCGCCAAGAGAUGAGUCCGCCCCCCAUUAGCUAGUUGGCGGGAUAAUAGCCCACCAAGGCUGUGAUGGGUAGCCGAGCUGAGAGGUUGAUCGGCCACACUGGAACUGAGACACGGUCCAGACACCUACGGGAGGCUG
Molecule: ribosomal RNA, 330 nt
Filed under: uncultured Candidatus Sumerlaeota bacterium
Lineage: Bacteria; Candidatus Sumerlaeota
Description: bacterial SSU rRNA
Rfam family: Bacterial small subunit ribosomal RNA
Source: RNAcentral